Molecule: ribosomal RNA, 274 nt
Filed under: uncultured bacterium
Lineage: Bacteria
Description: partial 16S ribosomal RNA
Rfam family: Bacterial small subunit ribosomal RNA
Source: RNAcentral
AUACGGAGGGUGCAAGCGUUAAUCGGAAUUACUGGGCGUAAAGGGUACGUAGGCGGUUAUUUAAGUUGGAUGUGAAAUCCCUGGGCUCAACCUAGGAACUGCAUCCAAAACUGAAUAACUGGAGUGUAUAAGAGGUUAGCGGAAUUCCAGGUGUAGCAGUGAAAUGCGUAGAUAUCUGGAGGAACAUCAGUGGCGAAGGCGGCUAACUGGUAUAACACUGACGCUGAGGUACGAAAGCGUGGGGAGCGAACGGGAUUAGAAACCCCAGUAGUCC